Stomoxys calcitrans (stable fly) is the source of this 1664-nucleotide RNA transcript. RefSeq lists it as uncharacterized. The record is from RefSeq and is a predicted model, not a curated record. NCBI's taxonomy places the organism in Eukaryota, Metazoa, Arthropoda, Insecta, Diptera, Muscidae. The transcript is spliced from 3 exons.
AUAAAUUUCUAUAGAAAAAAGAAUUUUGGAGAAAAAUCUUAUUAGUUACAUUUUUGUCUAAAUUUUAAAGUAAGAAUAAGAAACAUAUUUUUCGCGUGGUGUAAAUGAAGAAAGAUUGUGUUACACGGAUGGAUUAAAGCUAGAGGACAGAAUAGGACUGGGGGUCUACAUUGAGAACCCAAGGCCAUAAUACGGUCAUGCAGGCGGAGACCCGGGCGAUCACGGAAUGCGUGAGGUGGUGUGGUGUUAACGGACAGUACACAGGCCAUAAGGGCAAUAAAAACCAGGACAGUAAGCUCACGAACAGUGUUGGAAUGUAAGAAGGAAAUUAACGCGGAAAGGAAAAAUUCUCCGAGGGAGGCAAAAUCCGCAUCGUUUGGGUGCCAGGGCAUAGCGGAGUUACUGCGAAUGAGCAAACAGACAAUUUGGCAGUGAAGUCCAGAGAACUGCCGUCAAUAAACUUGGUUAACCCGAAGCCUUUCGGGUCGACGCAAUCCGAGUUAAGGGAGUGGGCGACGAAUGCACAUGUAAACCUGUGGAACAGCGAAACUGUCGGUAGGACGACGAAAAUCCUAUAGGGAGGUCCAGAUCGUGAGAAGCGAGGCUAUUAGUAAAAAGAAGUAAGAAGGAGGUCAAUAUAACUUUCGCCAUCAUAACCGGACACAUAAGACUACGAGCUGACUUAUGUAAAAUCGAUGCGACAAGUGAUAGCAUGAGUAGGGCAUGCGGAUAAGAUGAUAAGACGUUGGAGAAUUUCCUAUGUCAUUGCCCGGCUUGCGCAUCUAACAGAUACCGGCACUUAGGUGGGGACACAAUACCAGAUAUGAACCAACAUAGGGGCGUGGCAUGGAAAAUAUUUAAGGAUUUUAUUUUACAGUUGUUCUUCAAAUUUCGGAGAGAUAUUUGCAGCACAAUUUAUGCCGACAAUUUUUUCAUAACUUUGGAUUUGGCGCGUAUCGAAUAAGACAUGUGUGCCUCGGGAAUUCCAAAAAAAUCAUACGCCCUGUCGACAGCACAUUGUUCAGCAUCAACGAAGGCGAUACAGCACUAUGUUCAUAUGUGCCCAAGACGAACAAAACGGCAAUUUUGCUGUCGACACAUCAUUAUACUUGCGGUGUGGACAUGCAAACUGGAAAUAAGAAGCCGUUUGCUAUUUUGCAUGACAAUGCCAAUAAAUCGGGCGUUGAUACAAUAGACCAGAUGCUUGGCACAUAUACAUGCAAGCGCUCAACAAACCGCUGGCCAUUGGCUAUGUUUUAUAAUAUAGUGGACAUUGUUGCAUUUAUUGCAUACAAUGAGAUGAAGCCAAUAAAAGGAAGUAACAGACGACGGUCAUUCCUACUGGUGCUGACAAAACAAAGAGGGACGAGUGAUGAACAACCGCAUACCCAAGGAUAUGGAACGCAAUGGAAGCAUAUGAUAUAUUAAAAAGGCCGCCAGAAGGAGCUGUACCUACGUUUGCGUCUAUAACUAACAGACCGUCAUGUCGCCUAUGCCGUUCUGAGUACGGACGGCAGCAAACAAGGGCCUAUUGCCAUUUCUGUAACGAUCCAGUUUGUGCAGUUUUUUAGGCUUUUUUCAUAUAAAACUCAUAAAAAGGUUAUGUUAUGUAUAAACUUUUUUUCUAACAUUCAUUAUCUUAUAUAUAAAAAUCAAUUUGAGUU